CGGUGUUUAACUGGCGUGAUGUGGGACGUCCUACCGGUGGGCUUAGCCUCGCGAGGGGCGGCCCAACUAAUAUCCCGUCGCGGUGCUCUUUACUGAGUGUCGAGUCGGGCCGGUACGUUUACUUUGAACAAAUUAGAGUGCUUAAAGCAGGCUAUCCUCGCCUGAAUACUGCGUGCAUGGAAUAAUGGAAUAGGACCUCGGUUCUAUUUUGUUGGUUUUCGGAACCCCGAGGUAAUGAUUAAUAGGGACAGAUGGGGGCAUUCGUAUUGCGACGUUAGAGGUGAAAUUCUUGGAUCGUCGCAAGACGGACAGAAGCGAAAGCAUUUGCCAAAAAUGUUUUCAUUAAUCAAGAACGAAAGUUAGAGGUUCGAAGGCGAUCAGAUACCGCCCUAGUUCUAACCAUAAACGAUGCCAGCUAGCGAUCCGCCGAAGUUCCUCCGAUGACUCGGCGGGCAGCUUCCGGGAAACCAAAGCUUUUGGGUUCCGGGGGAAGUAUGGUUGCAAAGCUGAAACUUAAAGGAAUUGACGGAAGGGCACCACCAGGAGUGGAGCCUGCGGCUUAAUUUGACUCAACACGGGAAACCUCACCAGGCCCAGACACCGGAAGGAUUGACAGAUUGAUAGCUCUUUCUUGAUUCGGUGGGUGGUGGUGCAUGGCCGUUCUUAGUUGGUGGAGCGAUUUGUCUGGUUAAUUCCGAUAACGAACGAGGCUCUAGCCUGCUAAAUAGGCGUACCUUAUGGUAUCGCGAAGGCCCCCGGCUUCGGCCGGUGGGUUUUUACUACCAACGUACAAACAAAUCUUCUUAGAGGGACAGGCGG
Molecule: ribosomal RNA, 819 nt
Filed under: uncultured eukaryote
Lineage: Eukaryota
Description: SSU rRNA
Rfam family: Eukaryotic small subunit ribosomal RNA
Source: RNAcentral